CGGUGGGAGCGCGCCCGGCCCU
Molecule: unclassified non-coding RNA, 22 nt
Filed under: Mus musculus (house mouse)
Lineage: Eukaryota; Metazoa; Chordata; Mammalia; Rodentia; Muridae
Description: oocyte_clustered_small_RNA10796
Source: RNAcentral